This is an RNA transcript of Cucurbita moschata (crookneck pumpkin), 2268 nucleotides long. It is a transcript of the gene named pentatricopeptide repeat-containing protein At4g20090-like, with no coding region annotated. The transcript is spliced from 3 exons. NCBI's taxonomy places the organism in Eukaryota, Viridiplantae, Streptophyta, Magnoliopsida, Cucurbitales, Cucurbitaceae. The record is from RefSeq and is a predicted model, not a curated record.
UAAGAACAGUAGGAAUUUUCCAGGUUGAACCUAUUGGUUUCUCAUCGAUGUUGAGCACGAGCACCAUUAGGAAUGCUUCGGCGUACCUCAAAUUCGUUGCUUAUGGCUUCUCUUCAUACUCUUCCAGCACUUCAUCGACCAGAAAGCGCACUGCCAUAGCUCCAAGAGCUCUUGCAAGAAGACCCACUUCGCGAACUGCCCCAAUCCCUCGGGCUUUGGACACAGAUGCCGUCAGUUCAGUAUGUUCUUUACUUUCAAACAAAAAUCACCAAACAACUAAUCUCGAACUUGAUCAUUUAUUGAAAAGAUUCAAAGAAACCUUGAGCUCGGAUUUCGUUCUUCAAAUUCUGAUGAAUUAUAGGCUGUUCGGUAGGGCUAAAACGCUAGAAUUCUUCUCCUGGUCUGGAUUGCAAAUGGGGUAUCGGUUUGAUGAGUCCGUGGUUGAGUACAUGGCUGAUUUCUUAGGUAGAAGGAAACUGUUUGAUGAUAUGAAAUGUCUUUUGGUGACGGUGUCGUCUUAUAAAGGUCGGAUUUCUUGUCGAACAUUUUCAAUUUGUAUUAGGUUUUUGGGUAGGCAAGGGAGGGUUAGAGAAGCACUUUGCUUAUUUGAAGAAAUGGAGCCAAAAUUUGGGUGUAAACCUGAUAAUCUGGUCUUUAAUAACAUGCUUUAUGCACUUUGUAAGAAGGAACCAACAGGGGAAUUGAUUGAUACUGCUCUAACAAUUUUCAGAAGAAUUGAAUUGCCUGAUAAAUAUUCAUACAGUAACAUAAUUAUUGGAUUAUGUAAAUUUGGUAGGUUUGGUACUGCUGUUGAAGUGUUUGAUGAAAUGCGUAGGGCAGGUUUGGUACCUACUCGAUCUGCUGUGAACAUUCUCAUUGGGGAUUUGUGUUCAUUGAGUGCCAAAGAAGGGGCUGUAGAACAAGUUAGGGUCAGAAGUACUCGUAGGCCUUUUACUGUCCUAGUUCCAAAUGUGAAUCCGAAGAGCGGAGCCAUUGAUCAUGCAGUUGGAGUUUUUUGGGCAGCUAAUAGGCUGGCUUUAGUUCCCAGUACUUUUGUAAUAGUUCGGCUCAUCUCGGAGCUUUGUCGAUUAGGCCAAAUGCAAGAAGCAAUUAGAGUAUUAAAGGUUGUCGAGGUUAACAAGCUAAGGUGUACUGAAGAGUGUUAUUCCAUUGUGAUGCAAGCAUUGUGUGAACAUCGUCGAGUAGACGAAGCUAGUGAUCUGUUUGGGAGGAUGCUUUCUCAGGAUAUGAAGCCAAAGUUGGCUAUUUAUAAUUCUGUUAUUUGUAUGCUAUGCAAAUUAGGAAAUUUGGAUGAUGCUGAAAGGGUCUUCAAGAUUAUGAACAGGAAAAGAUGCGUCCCGGAUCAUGUUACUUACUCGGCGCUAAUCCAUGCCUACGGUGAAGCUAGGAAUUGGUCAGCGGCCUACAGUUUAUUGAAGGAAAUGUUGAGUUUAGGCAUAUCCCCGCAUUUUCAUGUGUAUAGUAUGGUGGAUAAACUAAUGAGGGAAGAUGGGCAAACUGAUCUGUGCUUGAAGCUGGAAAUGAAGUGGGAAUCCCAAAUUUUGCAGAAACUUUGUAAACAAGGACAACUGGGGGAUGCGUAUGAAAAGCUAAAGUCAAUGCUUGAAAAGGGUUUUUAUCCUCCUAUCUAUGUAAGAGAUGCUUUCGAGAGCGCGUUUCAAAAGAAGGGUAAGUUUAAGAUUGCUCGGGAGUUGCUGCAGACGAUGGACGGAGUCCACGAACAUGAGUCGGAUUCCAGAAAGGCAUCAUGAGUUAUCGAAUGGAAAGCCUCACCUUUCAAUAUCAAAGAAAUUCCUUGACAAAUAUUUGGAAGCUCGAGCUUCUCUUGAAGGCCCUUCCCGUGAAAGCUCACCCACCCACCGAAGAUCUGCAUUCUAGGAGACCUCACCUCCUGGGUCGACGUGUGCAGUUUGCUGGGGUGUCUUCGGCCUGCUUGUGCGAUUGUGACACUAGGCACUUGUACUAGCUUUGACGAGAAUACACCCCACCCCAGAACAAUAACAAUGACGACAUAGAGGGCAAGAAGGCAAAGACUUCCAACUAGUUCCACAUGUUAUAAAAAUGGAGUAGGACGGCUAGUGAUAUACGGGAGGGAGAGUAGAGAUGAUGUCAAGUCCCGACUCCUUACAACUCGCACCAGAUUGGUCUAGAAAUUAGAGUGGCUACAUCGGCCGAGAUAUACAUAGAGAGACUUUACAAGAAAUGCCUCCCUCUAUUUUGCAAAACAAAAGCUAUUCUCGCCAUUCG